GGUGGAUGAGUGGCGAACGGGUGAGUAAUACGUGAGUAACCUGCCCUUGACUCUGGGAUAAGCCUGGGAAACUGGGUCUAAUACUGGAUACGACAUGUCACCGCAUGGUGGCGUGUGGAAAGGGUUUUACUGGUUUUGGAUGGGCUCACGGCCUAUCAGCUUGUUGGUGGGGUAAUGGCUCACCAAGGCGACGACGGGUAGCCGGCCUGAGAGGGUGACCGGCCACACUGGGACUGAGACACGGCCCAGACUCCUACGGGAGGCAGCAGUGGGGAAUAUUGCACAAUGGGCGAAAGCCUGAUGCAGCGACGCCGCGUGAGGGAUGACGGCCUUCGGGUUGUAAACCUCUUUCAGCACGGAAGAAGCGAAAGUGACGGUACGUGCAGAAGAAGCGCCGGCUAACUACGUGCCAGCAGCCGCGGUAAUACGUAGGGCGCAAGCGUUGUCCGGAAUUAUUGGGCGUAAAGAGCUCGUAGGCGGUUUGUCGCGUCUGCUGUGAAAGCCCGGGGCUUAACCCCGGGUGUG
RNAcentral lists this ribosomal RNA (525 nucleotides) under Kocuria rhizophila. Its description in RNAcentral is "bacterial SSU rRNA". It matches the Rfam family "Bacterial small subunit ribosomal RNA", at positions 86 to 623 of the family's 1533-position model. Lineage: Bacteria; Bacillati; Actinomycetota; Actinomycetes; Micrococcales; Micrococcaceae. The record is from RNAcentral.